Boleophthalmus pectinirostris (great blue-spotted mudskipper) is the source of this 289-nucleotide long non-coding RNA. RefSeq lists it as uncharacterized. The record is from RefSeq and is a predicted model, not a curated record. The transcript has 3 exons. Lineage: Eukaryota; Metazoa; Chordata; Actinopteri; Gobiiformes; Gobiidae.
ACUCGGCUUGGAAGAAAUUAGAAAAAGCAACAAUAAAAAACAUCAAAACUGGAAAAGGUGUCAACUUUGAGAAUGACAGCUCUUGUUGUAAUAAACAUUCACGCCCCUCUGGAUGGAAGUGAGCGGAAGACAGCUGCGCAGGAACCUCAGUUAAACAGAUCAUUCAUGGAAAGCCAUCUUCUUUAUUAAAAAUGCCACAGCGCGUACAACACAAGAAAUCAUAUGGAGGACGAGUGAGCUGUGGCUGCAGGCGAUAACUCCUCUGUGGAUCCAACUACUGCACAUCCUC